Molecule: small RNA, 651 nt
Filed under: Pan troglodytes (chimpanzee)
Lineage: Eukaryota; Metazoa; Chordata; Mammalia; Primates; Hominidae
Description: processed transcript
Source: RNAcentral
AGUUUUGCCAUGGUAACACUUGUGGGGCAUUCCUUUUUGAACAGUACCCAUUCCCUUGAUGUCUACAAUAUCACCUUUCUUAUAGAUUCGCAUAUAUGUGGCCAAAGGAACAACUCCAUGUUUUCUAAAAGGCCUAGAGAACAUAUAUCGGGUGCCUCUCCUCUUUCCCUUUGUGUUCGUCAUUUUGGCGAAUUACUGGAAGAUGGCGGUUCCGGCCGAAAGGCGAUUUUCUUUUAUUCUAUUUUAAGACAGUUUCUCCCUUUUUUUAAGGUUGCUUUUUGUUUUUAUUAAUAAUUACUAUGCAUCUUUCUUCCAAAUUGAUCAGAAUUCAACCACUAGACUUUAAACUACUUCAUGUAAGGACUGUGGCUUUUUCUUUCAAUCUUUCCAUGUAUCAUUUUGUAAUCGCUUUCUUAUUUGAAUUGAGGAAGAGGAAAUGUCUUUAUCUGUUAGUGAAGGAUAAAAUGCAGGUUGAUCAAGAAGAAGAAGGGCAUCAAAAAUGUCAUGCUGAACACACUCCAGAAGAGGAAAUUGAUCAUACAGAAGCCAAAACAAAGUCAGCUGUCUCAGACAAACAAGACCGAUUAAAUCAGACACUUAAAAAAGGAAAAGUCAAAAGUAUUGAUCUACCGAUCCAGAGUAGCCUAUGUA